UACGAAGGGGGCUAGCGUUGCUCGGAAUCACUGGGCGUAAAGCGCACGUAGGCGGAUCUUUAAGUCAGGGGUGAAAUCCCAAGGCUCAACCUUGGAACUGCCUUUGAUACUGGGGAUCUCGAGUCCGGAAGAGGUUGGUGGAACUGCGAGUGUAGAGGUGAAAUUCGUAGAUAUUCGCAAGAACACCAGUGGCGAAGGCGGCCAACUGGUCCGGUACUGACGCUGAGGUGCG
This 232-nucleotide ribosomal RNA is filed under the name uncultured bacterium. RNAcentral's name for it is "partial 16S ribosomal RNA". It matches the Rfam family "Bacterial small subunit ribosomal RNA", at positions 524 to 755 of the family's 1533-position model. The record is from RNAcentral.